This 462-nucleotide long non-coding RNA is filed under the name Citrus x clementina. RNAcentral's name for it is "Citrus clementina (C. clementina) long non-coding RNA (CCLE_LNC002182)". The record is from RNAcentral. Lineage: Eukaryota; Viridiplantae; Streptophyta; Magnoliopsida; Sapindales; Rutaceae.
UGGCCUUUUUCCGCUGGACGAGCUUGGAGCCCCGGCCUUCGGGUGGUUAUUUUUGGGUAAAGCUUUGCCCAUAGACCAUUUUUGGCACACGGAGGCCCCUCGGAAAGUCUCGCGGCAUUCCGAGUCAGGCGGACGAAGUUGGCCAGCCCCACCCCCCAAGGCUAUAGCCCACCCGUUUUUGUGGCCUUUUUCCGCUGGACGAACUUGGCGCCCCGGCCUUCGGGCGGUUAUUUUUGGACGCUGCUUUACCCACGGCCUAUUUUUGGCACACGGAGGCCCCUCGUAAAGUCUCGUGGCAUUCCGAGUCCGGCGGACGAACUUGGCGCCCUGGCCUUCGGGGGGUUAUUUUUGGGAGCGGCUUUGCCCGCGGCCUUUUUUUGGCACAUGGAGGCUCCUCACAAAGUCUCGCGGCAUUCCGAGUCCGGCGGACGAAGUUGGCCAGCCCCACCCCCCAAGGCUAUA